This 84-nucleotide transfer RNA is filed under the name Fasciola gigantica. It matches the Rfam family "tRNA". From Rfam's summary of the family: Transfer RNA (tRNA) molecules are approximately 80 nucleotides in length. The record is from Rfam by way of RNAcentral. Lineage: Eukaryota; Metazoa; Platyhelminthes; Trematoda; Plagiorchiida; Fasciolidae.
GGCCUCGUAGCUCAGCUGGCACAGCAAUUGCGGUUCUAAAGCAAGGGUGGAAACCAUGCGUGGGUUCGAAUUCCGCCGGGGUCA